GCGAGCGGGUCGGUCGUCGAGUCGGAUUCGAAUUGGAAUCGGAAAUAGCGGUCUAGCGGAGAGCGGGCCUUUCUGCCUUACUGUGUGCUUUUGAAAAAAGUUUGUUUGAAAAAAGAGUAAAGAAAGCGGCGCCGCCAAGUGAGCGCGAGUGUGUGUGUGAGCCUCUGUGUUUUUGUGUGUUUUUGCAAAUACAAAAGAAGCAGCCCCCCAAAACAAAAGCAACAACAAAGUGUCGGCGGCUUUCGCGGUGGCAGCGCAGUAGCAGCGACGCAGCAGAGCAGUAGCAGCGCAGCGGCAGAGCGACAUCCAGUGCAUUUUGGUGCAAACUAAUUGUUGUUGUGAGAGCGAAUGUGUUUCAAUGAUGUUACUGCCUUCGGGGCGUUCGAAUAGUGAUGUCUAUCCGCUACAAAAUGCCGCCAACAACACAGCAACAUCAUCGACCGGAGGAGUAGUAUCAACUGGAGGAGGAGGAGCAGGAGGAGCCACAGCCAGGCCCAAACCCUUGCUACUGACACGAACAUCAUCGCCUCAAUUGACAACGCUGCCGACAACAAAUGGCUCCGUUGUCCAUGCCACGCCCACCCGCUCCAACGGAUGUCCGCUGCCGCCCCAAUCCUCCGGAAUCCCGGCGACAUUGGCAACAACAAUAGCCACAUCUGCAGCAACCACCGCCGUGGAGGCGACAACAACCUCGGAGCUUGGCAUCGGGAUUGGAAAUGGAAUCUACGGACCACUUUUGGGUCAAAGUCAUGCGAGUGUUAUCGCUGGCAUGGCCGAAAACUGGCCAGAAAUUGAUGGACACUUGGAGGCCAUACAGGAAAAGCUCAAGCCCGGCUGGAGUGUUCAUGUGGGCAAGGAGGGCAGGCUCUACUACUGCAAUCACAUGACGCAAUCCGCUGGCUGGCUGCCUGCCGUCGAGGAUUGGAGCAAACACGAGGAGCUCUCAUAUGGCUGGGAGCGUGCCAUAGACUCCAAGGGUCGUUCCUACUAUAUCAACCACCUCAACAAAACGACCACCUACGAGGCACCCGAGUGCAUACGCUGGGAUGAGCAUCCCCCAGAACCACGACACGUUCAACUGCAAAGGAAUGCCAGCCUGGGAUUCGGAUUCGUGGCCGGGAGUGAACGUCCAGUGAUUGUGAGAUUUGUCACGGAGGGCGGUCCGAGUAUCGGAAAACUGCAGCCGGGCGAUCAGAUCCUGGCGGUGAACGGUGAGGAUGUGAAGGAUGCUCCGCGGGAUCAUGUCAUCCAGCUGGUGCGAGCCUGUGAGUCGCAGGUCAAUCUCUUCGUGUGCCAACCCAUGGCGCACUGCGUCAUGCCGGGCAGGAAGUCCACGCUUCUUUCCGCCGGCAAGCGAGCCAAGCUGAGAUCACGUCCUAGUCGCGUUCGAUUCGCCGAGAGUGUCUGCGUCAACGGAGCUCCACUGUUUCCGCCCUCGGCCUUUUCCCUGGGCGACAUCUGUGUGCCGCCGAUGGCCAACGUGCUGAAGGUGUUCCUCGAGAACGGGCAGACCAAGUCCUUCAAGUACGACGCCACCACCACGGUGCAGGAUGUGGUCAGCUCGCUGCUGGACAAGCUCUGCCUCUGCUGCGGCGAGCUCUUCAGCUUGGUGCUGGAGCACGUGAAGAGCCUCAAGCGCAACAAGCUCACCCUGCUGGAUCCCCAGGAGUCGCUGGCCAGGAUUGCCGCUCGUCCGGGGGCGCACAAGCUGAGGUGCCUCUUCCGCAUCACCUUCGUGCCCAUUUCGGCCGCGGAACUGGCGCAGCGGGAUCUGCACGCCCUGGACUACCUGUACUUGCAGUGCUGCAACGACGUCAACCAGGAGAGAUUCGCCCCCGAGCUGCAGCCGGAAUUGGCCCUCCGAUUGGCCGCCCUCCACAUGCACCAGCACGCCCUGGCCAACAACUUUGCGCCCGCCAAGCUCACUGUUAAACUGGUCGAACGCGAGUUCGGGCUGGAGCGCUUUGUCCCAGUCAGCCUGUUUGAGGGCAUGAAGCGGAAGGAGCUGCGCCGGCUGAUUUCACACUUCCUGAAGCUCAACGCGGAGAUGACGGGAUCCUCCAGCAAGGUCCUCACACAGCUGCAGGCCAAACUCCAUUAUCUAGAUAUAAUCGCUAGCUUACCCAGCUAUGGAGCCAAAUGUUUCAGCACAAACCAAAGAGAGGGCGUCGAGCGCGUCCUGCUGGUGAGUCCGCGCUUCGGACUGAGCCAGAUCUCCAGUGCCCGCAAUUCGGUGCAGCCCCAACCCAUUUCGGCCAUCGAGGACUUCACCCAUGUGGUGGUGAAUCGCGAGGACGAUGUCACCUGCAGCGUAUCCAUCUUCAUGCUCGGCGAUCGGGCGGUGAAGUUCAUCAUGGAGGAUCGCGAUGGCUGCGAAUUUAGUCUGGUCCUGGGUGGCUACUAUCGAUUGCUGACGGGUAACAUGCUAAAUGUUCUGCGUGAACGGGAACCCAACGACGAGGACAACUCGCCCGGUUUCCUUAGCCAACACACAGUGCUCCCGGCGGGUUGGAGCUACCUGAUGCCCUUCCACACGCGGGCGCACAGCGUCAACUUCCUGAUGGCGCCGCCCUACCAUCCGCUGGUCCAGCGGCCGCAGCUCCAGCAGCAGACGUCGGUCAGUCAGGCGGCGGCACCUGCCUCGCUGCCCUACGCCAUGGACCUCGAUCUGCACAGUGUGAUGGCCACCGAGCUGCUGGAGGAGGCCGCCAAGGAUUCGGGGCUGAGCGACAGCAGUGGCAGCAAUUACGCCGAGGGACGCAGUCACUCGGGCAGCCACCAGCUGGAGGCCAAGAACGAGCAGGUUCUGCGAAGGGUUCAGGAGCUGCAGCAUUUGGUCCAAACCUCCGAGCAAUAUCUCAGUGAGCAGGAGCAGGGUGGCGCAGGAGGAGUGGCUGUCCUCGAAUUCGACUCGGAUUGCGAUAGUCUCAACAGCAGCAAGGUUUCCUCGACGGAGGAGUCGCAGGGUGGAGUGGGAAUGUCCAUUCCCCCGGGACAUCCGCUCAAGCACAGCGAUUCCCUGACGCUCCUGGCCGAGACAAUUAACCACGAGCUGAGCGGCAUAACCCAGGGAUUGAACGCCAUUCCAGAAACUGCACCCGUUUCCACAUCUGCGCCGGCUACGCCCGCCACUCCCAAGAGGAAACCCAGUCUGUGCAGCACCUCCAGUCCGCGUCCGCAGAGGAAACUGAAUGGUUUCAGUCAGCUUCUGAGCGACCUGCAGGCCCUGGGCACUGAUUUCUCCCAGAGCGAAAGUGACUCGGAAUCGGUGGCUUCACCCGCUCAAUCGCCAACAGCCAGGCGACCGCAGAUGAUGCUGCUCCAGGCGGCGGGAACUGCGGCACCUGCCAAACAGCAGCUCUCCCAGCGGAGCAGCUUUGGCCUCCACAGUCCCGAUGGCACGCAUUUCGGGGCCGAGACGAAGGACUACAACCUAAGGGAGUAUCUUCAACAGCUCAAGGAGAUCAGCAAUGCGGCAGCAGCGGACACUGAUGUGGCUGCCCGCCAGCUUUCCGAGAUCUAUGGCUUCGAGGUGCGGGAAGAUACCUUCAUUGAAACCGACACGGAUCUCAUAGAUCUGCGUGCCAUUCCACCGCCUCAAACGCCCGAUGAACUGGAUUCCCUAUCCCUGAUGAACGCCGCUCCUCCAAAGGGUUUCGAGGGAAGAGCCGAAGAGCUGGAUAGUUUCCUGCAGCAAAUAAUGGUGGCUCCGCCCACGCAGAAGGCCACGCCCGCCAAGGAGCUGACGCCCGAGGAGAUCAUGUCGUUCAUCAUACCGCCACCUCCGAAUUUGGAGCAACAGCAGGUGGCGCAACCGAUGGAAACGGAGUCCCUCUACAGCAACUCCGUUCAGGCCAAGCGGGAGUUCUUCCAGUCGGUGGCCAAUGGCCAGUCCACCGCUAGUGCACCCCAUGUCAUUGAAUACGCCACCGUGGAGCGGAAGAGCAAGUUCAGCUGCUGUCCAACGAGCAAGAAAGAGGAGCAGCCGGAGGAGGAGGAUCUGCAGCCGCCUCCCAGAACGCCCACUUGCGAGCAGCUCUCACCGCCGCCGGCGAGACCACCGAAAAGUGCCGAGCUGCUGCAGCGUUACUCGCCCAAGAAGCAGGUGAGGAUGGCCGCCAGCCCAGUGAUGCAGCAGCAGCUGCAGCUGGAGAGGAAUCCCCCGCAACUGCCGCCGCGGGGAAGUCCCACUUUAGAUGGAGCUGGGCAGAGCAAUCCUCCAUCGAACCUGGUGAGUGGUGGCCCCAAGAAACCCCCGCUGCCGCCCAUCGCCAGCCGCCCCUCGCGUCCUUCCAAUGGAACUGCUGCACCACCACCUGCCCACCACUACUCACCACCCAUACCGGCCACCGUCCGUCUGCCCCACUUGAAUCAGAGCCAGAAUCCGAACCAGAAUCCCAACCAGAAUGGAACCCUUCCCCUGCUCCCCAAGAAACCGCAGCAGCUGCAUGGCGAGAAGCUGUUCCUGAAGAACGGUCACCUCAUCGACGGCGAGGCGCUGUUGGCCAAAACGGAUGUGGCCAUGGCGGGUCUUCUGAUCAAACUGGACCAGGUGGCGGCCCAGUGUUCGGUGGCCCAGGCGGCCGGAGGAGGAACCUCCAUCGACGAGGAGAAGUUCCAGCGAGCACGCAACGAACUCACCGAACAGACUUUGGCUUUGGUCACCGCAAGCAAGUUCCUGGUGGCCUCCAUGUCGGACAUGACACUGAUUACGCUGCCGGAGCAUUUGACCUCCUGCCUGACGGCCAUCCGCAGGAUCACCGAGCUGGCCCAGGACAUGACCAGGCACACUUCGGCCCCGCUGCAAACGAGGAAUAUAGUGCUCAAAGUGCACGAUGUGGCCAGCAGUUUCAGGGAGCUGGUGGGCGUGGAGAUCGGACCCAUUGGCGCCGGUCAGUUGGCGCUGCAGGCCGAGUGCCUGGCCAAUGUCCUGGCCACUCUGCUGCGAUCCCUGCGCGUCUUCUCCCCAUAACCCACGGAGAUCGGAGCAGCCGGCGGAAGUGGAGAGGACAGGAACGAAAGUGUCGCCCGUCUGUCCAUGUGUAAAUCCCCCUGCACCACCUACGUCUAGAUGUGCUGUACCCUAUAUAUAUAUAUCGCAUAUGUAUCCUAAAAUACAUCGUCUUUCGAAACUAAUUUACAGUACUGCUCUGUAUACCAGCCCGAACCAAUCCCUCACCCGAAAAACAUGAAACCAAUUUAAAGGAAACACCAUGACUUGAUUAUCUAGACCAAUUUAUAUGAGAACCUAACGGAAAUAUGUUUAUUAAAUUAUGCUAUUAGUAUAUUUUCUUAUGUACAUAAUUAACACACAUACCUAAUACCAUAAAUAUACAAGUACUAUAUAUAACUAUUAUAAUAAAAUUGACCAAACAAUAAUCAAAAUUUUAACUUGUGAUAUAAAAAGUGGAAAAAGUAAAAGCAAAAAAAAUAAUUAACUUUUACAUUUUCUUUGUUUAACAGCAAAUGUUUUAACGCGAUUAUUUUAUAUGUUCGUUGUUGUUAGAAAACGAUCAACUUUUUUGUUAUUGUUUAUGUGUCAUACCUUUUGUUGUAGUUGUUGGCGAAGUACAAGAAUGCGCACUAAGUUGUAGCUUUAACUAAUUAUAUUAUUGAAUACAAUAUGAUUAAACCGUAAUCAAGGAAGGCAAUUCAAAUAUAACUAAUCGAUAAUUGUUUUCAUUUUGUUUGAAAUAUUCUGUUGAAGCAAGCACACACACAUAUGCAUAACAAACAUAACCAUAUGAUAUAUACAUACAAGAAUUAUACAAAUAUGAACUAAAUUAAUAAUACGCAUUAAGUAAAGCAUAAUCAAAUGUACAAUGUAAAACAAUGUAACUGUUUAUGAUUUAAUGAGAACAAAUUCGAAAUGCAUAUGAAAUUGUAUGGAAUAAAUUCAAUAAAUAAACCAAAGUAAAAUAAAGAUA
Drosophila takahashii is the source of this 5927-nucleotide RNA transcript. RefSeq lists it as uncharacterized. The record is from RefSeq and is a predicted model, not a curated record. NCBI's taxonomy places the organism in Eukaryota, Metazoa, Arthropoda, Insecta, Diptera, Drosophilidae.